This 839-nucleotide ribosomal RNA is filed under the name uncultured bacterium. RNAcentral describes it as "bacterial SSU rRNA". It matches the Rfam family "Bacterial small subunit ribosomal RNA", at positions 43 to 877 of the family's 1533-position model. The record is from RNAcentral.
CAGGCCUAACACAUGCAAGUCGAGCGGUAGAGAGAAGCUUGCUUCUCUUGAGAGCGGCGGACGGGUGAGUAAUACCUAGGAAUCUGCCUGAUAGUGGGGGAUAACGUUCGGAAACGGACGCUAAUACCGCAUACGUCCUACGGGAGAAAGCAGGGGACCUUCGGGCCUUGCGCUAUCAGAUGAGCCUAGGUCGGAUUGGCUAGUUGGUGAGGUAAUGGCUCACCAAGGCUACGAUCCGUAACUGGUCUGAGAGGAUGAUCAGUCACACUGGAACUGAGACACGGUCCAGACUCCUACGGGAGGCAGCAGCGGGGAAUAUUGGACAAUGGGCGAAAGCCUGAUCCAGCCAUGCCGCGUGUGUGAAGAAGGUCUUCGGAUUGUAAAGCACUUUAAGUUGGGAGGAAGGGCAGUUACCUAAUACGUGAUUGUCUUGACGUUACCGACAGAAUAAGCACCGGCUAACUCUGUGCCAGCAGCCGCGGUAAUACAGAGGGUGCAAGCGUUAAUCGGAAUUACUGGGCGUAAAGCGCGCGUAGGUGGUUUGUUAAGUUGAAUGUGAAAUCCCCGGGCUCAACCUGGGAACUGCAUCCAAAACUGGCAAGCUAGAGUAUGGUAGAGGGUAGUGGAAUUUCCUGUGUAGCGGUGAAAUGCGUAGAUAUAGGAAGGAACACCAGUGGCGAAGGCGACUACCUGGACUGAUACUGACACUGAGGUGCGAAAGCGUGGGGAGCAAACAGGAUUAGAUACCCUGGUAGUCCACGCCGUAAACGAUGUCAACUAGCCGUUGGGAGUCUUGAACUCUUAGUGGCGCAGCUAACGCAUUAAGUUGACCGCCUGGG